UUUCAAACCGGUGUGAGCCUAGGUUGGUUUCUAUCUCGAAAUAAUUAAUAUAUUUUAGUACGAAAGGACCUAAAUAUUUAAUAAAAAAUUUUAUUUUUGGAAUUAUAAUAUUAUUUUGGCAGAAUAGUGCGAUAGAUUUAGAAUCUUUAUAUGUAGUUUUACAAAUAAUAUUGUUAUUUAAAGAUUUUAUUAUAAUAAUAAUUUCUAGAGUAAUUCUAGCUUUAAGAGUAAUAUUAGGAGUGGCUUUUUUGACUUUAUUAGAACGUAAAGUAUUAGGAUAUAUUCAAAUUC
RNAcentral lists this ribosomal RNA (291 nucleotides) under Ceratapion damryi. RNAcentral's name for it is "partial 16S ribosomal RNA". The stretch from base 110 to 170 matches the Rfam family "tRNA". The record is from RNAcentral. Lineage: Eukaryota; Metazoa; Arthropoda; Insecta; Coleoptera; Brentidae.